UACGUAGGGUGCAAGCGUUGUCCGGAAUUAUUGGGCGUAAAGCGCUCGUAGGCGGUUUGUCGCGUCGGCUGUGAAAACCUGGGGCUCAACCCCGGGCCUGCAGCCGAUACGGGCAAACUAGAAUUCGGUAGGGGAGACUGGAAUUCCUGGUGUAGCGGUGAAAUGCGCAGAUAUCAGGAGGAACACCGGUGGCGAAGGCGGGUCUCUGGGCCGAUACUGACGCUGAGGUGCGAAAGCGUGGGGAGCAAACAGG
This 253-nucleotide ribosomal RNA is filed under the name uncultured bacterium. Its description in RNAcentral is "partial 16S ribosomal RNA". It matches the Rfam family "Bacterial small subunit ribosomal RNA", at positions 524 to 776 of the family's 1533-position model. The record is from RNAcentral.